GGAGGAUUAAGCCUAAUGGUAAGGCAGUAGUCUUGAAAACUACCAAUAAUCAAUAAUAUGAUGUGAGAGUUCGAGUCUCUCAUCCUCCU
RNAcentral lists this transfer RNA (89 nucleotides) under Crassvirales sp. Its description in RNAcentral is "tRNA-Ser". It matches the Rfam family "tRNA". From Rfam's summary of the family: Transfer RNA (tRNA) molecules are approximately 80 nucleotides in length. Their secondary structure includes four short double-helical elements and three loops (D, anti-codon, and T loops). The record is from RNAcentral. Lineage: Duplodnaviria; Heunggongvirae; Uroviricota; Caudoviricetes; Crassvirales.